UCUACCAUUAGUCGAUAUUUAUAUAUAUUUAAUUAGAAAUAAAAAGUAUAAAAUUUGUACAACAAAUAUUUUUCAAUUCAUCUGUCUUCAAAAAAGUAUAAUCUGACAUGUUUUCUUACUUUUGUUAGAUGUAGUUUUAAACAUAUUUUUCAUAUUUUAUCCAUAUCUGUCGCUGAAGUCACAUACAUUACGAGGCCGGUAGAAGCAUAAUGGAUACUUCCCGAAAUUAUAAAAAUCCUUUUCAGGAUUAUUUAAGUUCAUCCUGUCUUACUGUAUUGAAGCCAGAAGAAAAUACUAUAGCAGACAAUUUUAAAGUUUUGCUAACUACAAAUACCCAAAGAUUGAUACAAAAAUUAGAAGAAAAUAAAAAUGAUUGGACUUACCAUGAUGAUCAUUCUAUUUACACAGGAACUGCUGGUAUAGCAAAUAUGUUUCAACUUUAUGCUGAUUAUUUCAAUGAACCUGCAUAUUACUCUAAAGCAAUAGAAUUGUUACAAACCUGUAUCAAAAAAUUUAAAUGGAAAAGGGAAAUAACUUUUUUAACUGGCUUAUCUGGACCAUUAGCACUUGGAGCAGUUAUAUUUCAUAAACAUGGAAGUAAGGAUGAUUCACAAAAUGCAAUAUCUAAAUUGAUAUCUUUAUCAUCCCAUGUUAUAAAUGAACAUAGUGAAAUACCAGAUGAACUACUUUAUGGAAGAGCUGGAUAUCUUUUUUCUCUUCUUUAUAUAAAUUCAAAUAUAUCUCCACCUCCUAUUAAAAGUGAUAUUAUCAAACAGGUUAUCUCUAGUAUAAUAAAAUCUGGAAAUAUAUACUCUACAUCGAGACAUUACAAGUCUCCACUUAUGUAUUCAUGGCAUGAUACAGAAUAUCUUGGUGCAGCUCAUGGACUGGCUGGUAUUCUCUACAUACUCUUACAAGCUCGAGAUUAUUUACAUGAAGAACAACUGAAAAAUUAUAUACUACCAGCUUUAUAUUAUCUUCAAGAUCUAAAAUAUCCGUCAGGAAAUUUUCCUUCUUCGAUAGGAAGUAAUACAGAUAAAUUGAUACACUGGUGUCAUGGAGCUCCAGGAAUGACUAUGUUAUUUUGUCUUGCCUAUGAGAUAUAUUCGGAUAAGAAAUUUUUAGAAACUGCUAUACAAUGUGGAGAAGUAAUUUGGGAAAGGGGUUUGUUGAAAAAAGGAUAUGGAAUAUGUCAUGGAGUUUCUGGAAAUGCAUAUACAUUUCUACAUCUGUAUCAACAAACAAAGGAUCUAAAACAUUUAUAUAGAGCUUGUAAAUAUGCGGAAUGGUGCUGUAAUUAUGGAGUAAAUCAAAAUAGAAUUCCUGAUAGACCAUUUUCUUUGUUUGAAGGUCUUGCUGGUGUAAUUUAUUUUCUUAUAGAUAUGCAAAAGCCAAGUAUGGCCAAAUUUCCAGCAUAUACUUUAUAAAGUUAACAUAUUCGGAUUAUCGUAUUUAUUACAACACAAUUUUCUUUAUGAUUACUUUUAAAAAGAAUCCGUUUUAUAAUAAAGUUUUCUAUUUAAAAUUGGAUGAGAUGGUACUGCAAAUUGUUCUCAAGUAUAUUCGUUGUUUAAAUUGCUCGUACUUUAUACUCGUUAUACUAUAUAACCCUUGUGAAAAAAUCCAUAAAAGAGAGAAAAUAUGAUGAUAUAUUAUGGAUAUAAACGAGAUUAGUAUAAAACAAAUUUUUUUAAAUUAUUUAUAUUAUUAAAUUAUUUAAUACAUAAUAUAACGUAAUACACACAUACACACACACACACGCACACAUGUAUAAUUUAAAUAUAUUUAAAUUAAAUAUUUUCUUUUUAAAAAAGUUAAAGUAUUACAACAUAAUAAAGAUUCUUUCUUUUAUAUACUCCGUGACGAUUGAAAAGUGAUCGAAUGAAAGUCUGAAAUGUGAGUUGUCCCCGUCUUCUUUCGUUGCGUCACUUUCUACUCGUCCGAAUAAUACACUCUUCCAAUAUAUAUACAUACAUACGUACAUUCAUAGAAGUACAGUACAUAUAUUAAGUAGCAAUGCAAGAAUGAAAUUUCGACUUUUGAUAGAUUUUUGAAAAAACUUUAAAGAAUAAAUUUAAUAAUAAUAUAUUCAUUUAUCUAUUAAAAAAAAAAAAAAAGAAAAUAAUUUUGAAAGAAAACUCGAAAUUUUACAAUUCAUCGUAGGAACAAGUAAUAAUCAUAAAUAAUUACUUAACUGCAUAUUUUUUGUAUCAUGUAAUAUAUUUUAUUAUCAAAAUAUUUGCAUUAUAUUUUUAUAUAUGUAGGUAUAUUACAUCAAAA
This is an RNA transcript of Vespa velutina, 2280 nucleotides long. It is a transcript of the gene named lanC-like protein 2, with no coding region annotated. The record is from RefSeq and is a predicted model, not a curated record. The transcript is spliced from 11 exons. NCBI's taxonomy places the organism in Eukaryota, Metazoa, Arthropoda, Insecta, Hymenoptera, Vespidae.